UGCUGACGAGCGGCGGACGGGUGAGUAAUGCCUGGGAAUAUACCCUGAUGUGGGGGAUAACUAUUGGAAACGAUAGCUAAUACCGCAUAAUCUCUUCGGAGCAAAGAGGGGGACCUUCGGGCCUCUCGCGUCAGGAUUAGCCCAGGUGGGAUUAGCUAGUUGGUGGGGUAAUGGCUCACCAAGGCGACGAUCCCUAGCUGGUCUGAGAGGAUGAUCAGCACACUGGAACUGAGACACGGUCCAGACUCCUACGGGAGGCAGCAGUGGGGAAUAUUGCACAAUGGGGGGAAACCCUGAUGCAGCCAUGCCGCGUGUAUGAAGAAGGCCUCGGGUUGUAAAGUACUUUCAGUUGUGAGGAAGGCGUUGGAGUUAAUAGCUUCAGCGCUUGACGUUAGCAACAGAAGAAGCACCGGCUAACUCCGUGCCAGCAGCCGCGGUAAUACGGAGGGUGCGAGCGUUAAUCGGAAUUACUGGGCGUAAAGCGCAUGCAGGCGGUCUGUUAAGCAAGAUGUGAA
RNAcentral lists this ribosomal RNA (515 nucleotides) under Photobacterium phosphoreum. Its description in RNAcentral is "bacterial SSU rRNA". It matches the Rfam family "Bacterial small subunit ribosomal RNA", at positions 86 to 598 of the family's 1533-position model. The record is from RNAcentral. Lineage: Bacteria; Pseudomonadati; Pseudomonadota; Gammaproteobacteria; Vibrionales; Vibrionaceae.